CCUACGGGAGGCAGCAGUGGGGGAUAUUGCACAAUGGGGGAAACCCUGAUGCAGCGACGCCGCGUGGGUGAAGAAGCGCCUCGGCGCGUAAAGCCCUGUCAGCAGGGAAGAAAAUGACGGUACCUGAAGAAGAAGCCCCGGCUAACUACGUGCCAGCAGCCGCGGUAAUACGUAGGGGGCAAGCGUUAUCCGGAUUUACUGGGUGUAAAGGGGGCGCAGACGGCGAUGCAAGCCAGGAGUGAAAGCCCGGGGCCCAACCCCGGGACUGCUCUUGGAACUGCGUGGCUAGAGUGCAGGAGGGGCAGGCGGAAUUCCUGGUGUAGCGGUGAAAUGCGUAGAUAUCAGGAGGAACACCGGUGGCGAAGGCGGCCUGCUGGACUGCAACUGACGUUGAGGCCCGAAAGCGUGGGGAGCAAACAGGAUUAGAUACCCCUGGUC
Molecule: ribosomal RNA, 438 nt
Filed under: uncultured bacterium
Lineage: Bacteria
Description: partial 16S ribosomal RNA
Rfam family: Bacterial small subunit ribosomal RNA
Source: RNAcentral